AGCAGCCGCGGUAAUUCCAGCUCCAAUAGCGUAUAUUAAAGUUGUUGCAGUUAAAAAGCUCGUAGUUGAAUUUCGGGAUCAAUAUGUCGGUCGUGCCUUCGGUACGUACUGGCAUCAUUGGUUUCUCCCUUCUGACAAACCAUGAUGUCAUUAAUUUGGUGUUAUGGGGAGUUAGGACUGUUACUUUGAAAAAAUUAGAGUGUUUAAAGCAGGCAUUAGCUUGAAUACAUUAGCAUGGAAUAAUGAAAUAGGACGUUUGACCCUAUUUUGUUGGUUUCUAGGAUCGACGUAAUGAUUAAUAGGGAUAGUUGGGGGCAUUAGUAUUCAAUUGUCAGAGGUGAAAUUCUUGGAUUUAUUGAAGACUAACUACUGCGAAAGCAUUUGCCAAGGAUGUUUUCAUUAAUCAAGACGAAAGUUAGGGGAUCGAAGACGAUCAGAUACCGUCGUAGUCUUAACCAUAAACUAUGCCGACUAGGGAUCGGAUGAUGUUAAUUUUUAAUGACUCAUUCGGCGUCCG
Molecule: ribosomal RNA, 517 nt
Filed under: uncultured Glomus
Lineage: Eukaryota; Fungi; Glomeromycota; Glomeromycetes; Glomerales; Glomeraceae
Description: SSU rRNA
Rfam family: Eukaryotic small subunit ribosomal RNA
Source: RNAcentral